Molecule: unclassified non-coding RNA, 323 nt
Filed under: soil metagenome
Description: partial contains 5.8S ribosomal RNA, internal transcribed spacer 2, and large subunit ribosomal RNA
Rfam family: 5.8S ribosomal RNA (bases 1-120)
Source: RNAcentral
GAUGAAGAACGUAGCGAAAUGCGAUAAGUAGUGUGAAUUGCAGAAUUCAGUGAAUCAUCGAAUCUUUGAACGCACAUUGCGCCCCUUGGUAUUCCAUGGGGCAUGCCUGUUCGAGCGUCAUUUGUACCUUCAAGCUUUGCUUGGUGUUGGGUGUUUGUCCCGAGGGACUCGCCUUAAAGUAAUUGGCAGCCAGUGUUUGGUUUUGAAGCGCAGCACAAGUCGCGAUUCAAGGCUACACGCCCGCUUCCACAAGCCUUUUUUCACUUUUGACCUCGGAUCAGGUAGGGAUACCCGCUGAACUUAAGCAUAUAAUAAGCGGAGGA